UACAGAGGGGGCAAGCGUUGUUCGGAAUUACUGGGCGUAAAGGGCGCGUAGGCGGCCUGCUAAGUCGAACGUGAAAUCCCGGGGCUCAACCCCGGAACUGCAUCCGAUACUGCCAUGCUAGAGGAUUGGAGAGGUAGCUGGAAUUCUUGGUGUAGCAGUGAAAUGCGUAGAGAUCAAGAGGAACACUCGUGGCGAAAGCGAGCUACUGGACAAUUCCUGACGCUGAGGCUCGAAGGCUAGGGUAGCGAAAGGG
Molecule: ribosomal RNA, 253 nt
Filed under: uncultured bacterium
Lineage: Bacteria
Description: partial 16S ribosomal RNA
Rfam family: Bacterial small subunit ribosomal RNA
Source: RNAcentral